Molecule: long non-coding RNA, 875 nt
Filed under: Olea europaea subsp. europaea
Lineage: Eukaryota; Viridiplantae; Streptophyta; Magnoliopsida; Lamiales; Oleaceae
Source: RNAcentral
UCUAAUUCCUAAUAUUUUUGGAGCAACGUACCCCUUUUCAGUGAACUCAAAUUUUGUAAGUCAGCAAGAACUAUUGGUGCAGGUGUGAUUUUCAUGACUCUACUUUACUGAACUGCAGUGAGGAGAACUGAUUUUCCUAUAGUGUUUCCGUCAUGGGGAAAAACAAAUCGUGACAGACAAUAAGGAAGAAAUGCUUCAUGCUUAAUUUCACUUUCACAUACCAGGAAUUUUACCAUUGAGAAGACAGGCUUGCUUUCUUUUAUAUAUUUUAAAAUACUUCUAUAAAUUAAACAUGUAUGGAAGACAACAAUCAAUUUUCCUGUACAUGAUAGCUUAUGAAUCAAAAAAAUCCACCACACACACACAUGAUAUCGCUCUUCUUUCACGUGUGCAGACGCACAACCGUUGCACUUCCCUUGCACAUCUUUUACAACAUUUUUUAUAUCAUAAUAUGUUAGAAUUAGGAUGUGACCCGAAUUCCAUUUGGAAGACUAUUUGGGAAUUUUAAUUGAAGUCUAUUUGGGAAUUCAAUUCAGGAGUUCAAUUGAGAGUUUGAAAUUUGUUUUGGACUUGAAGAAGAAUUGAAGCAGUCCAAGUUGUAAUAGAAGAGGAAGAAAUCGUGCAAGGAGAAGGAAACGCCAAACUGGCACUCGCUAUGCACCUUGGUCUCACUAGAGCGCUCAAAAUAGGAGCUCCAGUGCUCAAUGUCUGUGAGGCAGCACUCAAGUGAUUGGCCACCGCCCGAUAGUAGUGAGACCACUCCUCGAGCCUCGGUCUUAUCCGGAUUUGGAACAGUUCUCAAAGUUGGCAAUUUUUUAAAUCCUAUUUUAUUCCAAAUAUUUCACUAUUGUAUACUUAUUAUAGUUGAAAUCCAC